RNAcentral lists this ribosomal RNA (440 nucleotides) under uncultured bacterium. Its description in RNAcentral is "partial 16S ribosomal RNA". It matches the Rfam family "Bacterial small subunit ribosomal RNA", at positions 338 to 795 of the family's 1533-position model. The record is from RNAcentral.
CCUACGGGUGGCUGCAGUGGGGAAUAUUGGACAAUGGGCGAAAGCCUGAUCCAGCCAUGCCGCGUGAGUGAUGAAGGCCCUAGGGUUGUAAAGCUCUUUCACCGGUGAAGAUAAUGACGGUAACCGGAGAAGAAGCCCCGGCUAACUUCGUGCCAGCAGCCGCGGUAAUACGAAGGGGGCUAGCGUUGUUCGGAAUUACUGGGCGUAAAGCGCACGUAGGCGGACAUUUAAGUCAGGGGUGAAAUCCCGGGGCUCAACCCCGGAACUGCCUGUGAUACUGGGUGUCUCGAGUCCGAGAGAGGUGAGUGGAAUUCCGAGUGUAGAGGUGAAAUUCGUAGAUAUUCGGAGGAACACCAGUGGCGAAGGCGGCUCACUGGCUCGGUACUGACGCUGAGGUGCGAAAGCGUGGGGAGCAAACAGGAUUAGAUACCCCGGUAGUC